UCUAAAAUGGCAGACAGAUGCACAGGACUUAAGCUCCUGCCAGGAAGAUCUCUUCUUUUAGGA
RNAcentral lists this transfer RNA (63 nucleotides) under Linuparus trigonus. Its description in RNAcentral is "tRNA-Leu". The record is from RNAcentral. Lineage: Eukaryota; Metazoa; Arthropoda; Malacostraca; Decapoda; Palinuridae.